CGCGUAGGCGGCCUUCUAAGUCGAACGUGAAAUCCCUGGGCUCAACCCAGGAACUGCGUCCGAUACUGGAAGGCUUGAAUCCGGGAGAGGGAUGCGGAAUUCCAGGUGUAGCGGUGAAAUGCGUAGAUAUCUGGAGGAACACCGGUGGCGAAGGCGGCAUCCUGGACCGGUAUUGACGCUGAGGCGCGAAGCCAGGGGAGCAAACG
RNAcentral lists this ribosomal RNA (206 nucleotides) under uncultured bacterium. RNAcentral's name for it is "partial 16S ribosomal RNA". It matches the Rfam family "Bacterial small subunit ribosomal RNA", at positions 568 to 774 of the family's 1533-position model. The record is from RNAcentral.